CCUACGGGAGGCAGCAGUGGGGAAUAUUGGACAAUGGGCGCAAGCCUGAUCUAGCCAUGCCGCGUGAGUGAUGAAGGCCCUAGGGUCGUAAAGCUCUUUCAACUGUGAAGAUAAUGACGGUAGCAGUAGAAGAAACCCCGGCUAACUCCGUGCCAGCAGCCGCGGUAAU
Molecule: ribosomal RNA, 169 nt
Filed under: uncultured marine bacterium
Lineage: Bacteria
Description: partial 16S ribosomal RNA
Rfam family: Bacterial small subunit ribosomal RNA
Source: RNAcentral